This is a long non-coding RNA of Alligator mississippiensis (American alligator), 4360 nucleotides long. RefSeq lists it as uncharacterized. Lineage: Eukaryota; Metazoa; Chordata; Crocodylia; Alligatoridae. The record is from RefSeq and is a predicted model, not a curated record. The transcript has 4 exons.
CAGGUGUUGCUCAGUGGCUCGUUAGGCUCUGCAGGCUCACAGAGCAGAAUAGCAGGUAACCCACAGGCUGGCAAGGUUCAGAGCAACCUAAAACUAAUGCCACAGUCCUCUUUAAUACACCAUUGCCUGGGAGACGGGAGGAUCUGGAGAUGGCUUCUACUUGCUACAACUGCUGCACUGGUCCAAUAUAAAUGACUCAAAAGGACCCUGCAAUGGGUUGAAGGUCCCUAUUGAUGUCAGUAUCUAACUCUGCCAGUGAUAUGGGACAGCAGCAAGUUCAUCUGCAGUUGAUGACAGCAGUACUUUGCUCUGGCUGCCAUCAGGGGAAAAAGCUCCCAUCUCAGAAGAUUUGGCUUUUAACUCUCAGGAUCACUGCCACCCAGUAGCAGCCUGUGCUUUAAGCACAAACCCAGCACUUGGUUCUUCUGUCUUCUGUUGGCGCUGGAGUUAUGACCCAGAUAGCUUGUUCUGGGUGGAUCCAUACCCUCAGACUGACUGUGACCGCUCCAUUCAAUAAUAAGUGAAUGUUAUUGAAAUGCAGUGAUAGCAGGAUACUGUCAGCUAAGCUGUUGCCAUGAGGUGCGGAGGAAGGAGAUCGCUAUUCCAGCCCGGCCCGCAGUAAACUACAGUGGUGGCUUGAAGGAGGGACUGCAGCAAAAGCAUAAUAGCCAUGACUUUCUCUGAUCCUGUAUCAGCAAAAAGGCUGAGGGCCAAUUAAUCAGCUUGUGGAGUGACACUGAAAUCAGUGGAAGUUACACCAGUAAAAAAAUUUGGUCCCAUGACCCUUCCUCUUAUAAAGGGGGCAUUUCACAGGGCAUCCAUGCACCAGACAAAACAAGACCCGGUUGAACUGACAACUCCCACUGCAUAGAGCAUGACAUCCGUGCAGGUUCAGCACAACAUAGUCUUGAUCCUCUGUGGCAGCGGGCAUCCUCCUAGCAUCCAAGGAGUCUGUGGUCCAGGCAGGUUGUCAUGUUCUGUGCAAGUCCUGUAUUCAGUCAUGGGGAGGUUGAUUGUAGCUGAAUCUGAAUUAUCAGGGAGUGCAGGGCUCCUAUCCUGUCCCCUAGACCAGACCCACCGAUUGGGAGCAGACUGUCUAUUGAAGAUCAAGGUGCAAUGCCAUCUGGAGGACAUGCAGACCUUGUCUUCACAGCCCAUCUUGCAUUAUUAACUAUCAAAACAGGUCUAAGUUACCCCCUUGUCGAGUCUCCUUAGUGUUUUCCAUUCCGUUUCCUUCCAUGGAUUGGUAUACCAGUUCUCAGUGCUCUACAAAGGGGCAAGCUCUUGAUUUUUUAAUUUUUUUUUGCACUAGCAAAAAAGCAAAGUUGACCUUCUUAAGAGCUGUUUAGGGUCCUGUUCAAAAAGAGGAUUUCCCCAAAACAUAGUCAAUGUGGGGUUUUUUUCUCCAGCUGGGCAGCCAUACCUUCUCUGCUUCCUGAUGGGGCACAUACCUUUCCUUUAUUCUUGGCAUCUGGUGCCUGGCAUGUUCAUUUCCAGUUCAUCUGUUCUUCCACUUGAGGGAAGACUGACUUCAGUCAUGAAGAUAAGACUCAGUCAUCCACAUGCCUAGAUGCAGGAGGCCUUGCCAGUUCUUGCUGCAUGAUCAUCACAUCACAAAGUGAUCCUGGUGUUAUAUGGAAGGACACAAAGACGUAUCUUCAUCUCCCAAUCUUGCUGGUCUUCAAGCAUGGCACCAAUGCUUAUUCUGUCUGCUCUCCUAUUACUUACAGAGGGAACAGCACCAACCUUCACCUUAUUUUUGGAGUUGUUGACAAACUUGUGUUAAAAUCACGAUUCAGGUUCCUUCCCUGAUCCUGCAGGUGCAGCAUGUUGGGCUGAACUGCUGCGGUGCACAUUAUCCAUGCACCCAUAUCCUUCGGUGGCUCUGACACCACCUUCUUGAAGAAGGUGCCACAAGCAACCAGCAAAUACCAAUUCCCAGGUGCUGUUUCUGGCACCAGUGGGCUUGUCAAGUCCAUCUGUAAGAAGCAGCCCCACAGUUUACUCGGCUGAGGCAUUUCUUGCAAAGGAUUUCCAAAAUCAGCCAAGCACACGCAGGUUCCACUCUCUUUAGCAAGACCAGUUGAUUUCUUCUUGGGCACAAUUGGUUUUGCCACCUUGGAUCCACAGUCACCAGUUACAAUACUCACUCACUUAUACAGCCCAAGGGACUCUGCAGUUAUAGACACUAUUGCACAAAAUAGGACUGACCUUUCUUCUAGUUCUACCCCAAUCAGAGACAACUGCGUAAUUUGAAAGGAAACAACAAUACCACGCCAGGAUAAUGAUACGGUCCCACCUGUAAUGAAGGUCACAGAUCAUUACAAUAGCCAAUUUAUAGCGUAGCAGUGUCCAAACGCCCCAACCAGGCUACCUAAAGAAUCUCCCUGUUCAUUAUAGAUGGUCUUAAACUUUCCGUGGAAAGGGUUUUUUUUUUCCCCAAAGAAAAUGGCUUUUCAAUGGAUCAGAAGUUGCUUGUAAGAAAACUGAUUUUCUCUGAAAUAGUGAAAAUCAAAUUUUUUUUUUUAAAUCACCGUUUUUCCUAAGAGGCAAAACCAGUUUUCCUCACCCUUUUUUAUUCCUAGGAGAGCUUAAUGAGUUGAAAUGAUCAGCCCCAUCAGGGGUGCAGGAGAGGAAAGGGGGGGAUCCCAGGUCUUCAGCCGUAUCUCCAAGUUGCAUGCAGGAGCUGAGCACUAUAGAAGCCAGUUGGAUUUGCCGCUGGGGAUCUGUCUGGGUUUUGGCAGCACCAACCCCCUGACCUAGCUGUCAAGGGAGCUGGCAGCUGGGUCAUGCUUGACUCUGGUCCAGAUGCUAUCAGGGUGAUCAUGCCAGGGUCCAAAAUACAUCUUGAUUUCAUAUUUGAUUUCUCUGGCCCUGCACAGUAAUCACCUCCUGGCUCGCCCACCCCUCCCUCGCUCACGUUCUCCUCCUGCUGCCGAACGGCAGACGGGAGAUUUCAUGUGCAAUAAAUAUUUAGAUUGCGCCUGUGUGUUUAUAACACUUGCCGAGAGUGUAACCGGAGCAGCUCGCGCUCUGCGGCGACACCUGAUGCUGGUGAAAGUUUUCCAUCACCUCAUGCGGGCUGAACGGCCGCAGCUCUGCGAGCAGAGCGGGCAUGUGGGACCAGUAGCUGUGUCUGCCGUGCCGCUUUCCCUCCCUUCUCCCGUGCCGGUGAAAUAAUAAUCAUCAUCAUCAUCAAAAAAAUAUAUAUAUGGUGAACAUUUUGUUUCAUUGUCCCUGAGGAACCUGUUAUUCCAAAAGAAAAUGGAAAAAACUAUGGCUCCGGCUGAGUCGGGCCAAGCCAGGCAGCGCUGGCCUUCCCGUUUAUAAAUGGCGGGGGUGGACUGGCAAACUAGCCCUUAACGCCAUUCUUGAUGGAGAAACUAGACUUCGCGGGCAUGUACGUGCUCUUCUCCAGCACCGCUGGCUCAGAGGCACUGGACAGCCCCGCAGUUUCCAGAGCAUCAGGCCUCUGAAGUGUUACACAAUGUUUUGUGCUUUAAUAAAUGUGUUUUUGCUAAUGUUUCUUUGGGGGAAAAUAUUUUUCUUUUGUUUCUCUGUGUAGUCUCUUUAGGACUUUUUGGGGAAGCGCAGCCAAUGGCAUUAGGCUUGCUUUCUUUUUUAUUUCUGGAGAGGGGGGGAGAAAAAGCAUUUGUUUUCAGUCCCUGCCCUUGCACAUAUUCCUCUUUCCCUCCUUGGUUGUCUACUCCUUGACUUUGCAACUGGGGAUAAAGGAUCACUUAUAUACUUAGAUUCUUCUUUGGGGGGCUGGUGGUUUGACACUUGUCCAUAAUGGGGUCUUCUCUGCCUCUUUCUCCAAAGCAUUUGACACUACUGUGGAUACAGGACCCCAGAGUAGAUGGAUGCUGGUCUCUUCCAGCUUGGCAGUUCUGACAUCCUUUAAUGACAACUCCUCACCAUCUAUGGCAGAUUUGAAAUUUGGUUCAGCAAGGUCCAAAACCUAGAAGGAAAUUACAAAAAAAGUAGAAAAGCCAACCCUUCCUCUUUCUAUUUUAGAACGGGGGGAUGAAGAGGAAACAUGAAUUCAAUUUUAUGUGGAUUAUAAGGCGCCUAUAAAGAGAGUCAUAUGAACUGAGACACUUGGCUCUGUUACCUUAAUGAUACCUAUGGUACAAUAUGUGAAAUCUAUUACACUAUUCUGGAUAUAUAUGUGUGUGUGUGUGUGUGUACAGAGAAGGGGAGGGGUAGAGAGAUGAAAUCUCGGGGCCUUUAUUUUUAUUGGCUUCUGCAAAGAAUAAAUUACACAGCAAGGGCAAGGUUAAAUUAUUGUAAAUGUCUGUUUGAAAGGCAUCACUUAAUUAUUAACAGUCCACUACAAAUAAAAAGUACAUAUGCUAAA